GACGAACGCUGGCGGCGUGCUUAGCACAUGCAAGUCGUACGGUAAGGCCCUUUCGGGGGUACACGAGUGGCGAACGGGUGAGUAACACGUGAGUAACCUGCCCACAACUUUGGGAUAACGCUAGGAAACUGGUGCUAAUACUGGAUAUGUGCUCCUGCUGCAUGGUGGGGGUUGGAAAGCUCCGGCGGUUGUGGAUGGACUCGCGGCCUAUCAGCUUGUUGGUGGGGUAGUGGCCUACCAAGGCGGCGACGGGUAGCCGGCCUGAGAGGGUGACCGGCCACAUUGGGACUGAGAUACGGCCCAGACUCCUACGGGAGGCAGCAGUGGGGAAUAUUGCACAAUGGGCGCAAGCCUGAUGCAGCAACGCCGCGGGCGGGAUGACGGCCUUCGGGUUGUAAACCGCUUUCAGCAGGGACGAAGCUUUUUGUGACGGUACCUGCAGAAGAAGCACCGGCUAACUACGUG
RNAcentral lists this ribosomal RNA (465 nucleotides) under uncultured bacterium. Its description in RNAcentral is "partial 16S ribosomal RNA". It matches the Rfam family "Bacterial small subunit ribosomal RNA", at positions 28 to 507 of the family's 1533-position model. The record is from RNAcentral.